AGAAUCAACGCUGGCGGCGUGCCUCAGACAUGCAAGUCGUACGAUUAAAGCUCUCUUCGGAGAGUGUAUAGAGUGGCGCACGGGUGAGUAACACGUAAGUAAUCUACCUUUGAGUGGGGAAUAACAGUCGGAAACGACUGCUAAUACCGCAUAAUGCAGCGGCAUCUAUUGAUGACAGUUGUUAAAGAAUUUAUUCGCUUAAAAGAGGAGCUUGCGGCGGAUUAGCUAGUUGGUAAGGUAAUGGCUUACCAAGGCAACGAUCUGUAGCCGACCUGAGAGGGUGGUCGGUCACACUGACACUGAAUAACGGGUCAGACUCCUACGGGAGGCAGCAGUCGGGAAUUUUGGGCAAUGGGCGAAAGCCUGACCCAGCAACGCCGCGUGAAGGAUGAAGUAUUUCGGUAUGUAAACUUCGUAAGAAUGGGAAGAAUCAAUGACGGUACCAUUUGUAAGGUCCGGCUAACUACGUGCCAGCAGCCGC
Molecule: ribosomal RNA, 481 nt
Filed under: uncultured bacterium
Lineage: Bacteria
Description: SSU rRNA
Rfam family: Bacterial small subunit ribosomal RNA
Source: RNAcentral